UUCAGAGAUGAGGACUGCAUGAACGAC
RNAcentral lists this small RNA (27 nucleotides) under Bombyx mori (domestic silkworm). Its description in RNAcentral is "ovarian small RNA-37018". The record is from RNAcentral. Lineage: Eukaryota; Metazoa; Arthropoda; Insecta; Lepidoptera; Bombycidae.